RNAcentral lists this ribosomal RNA (468 nucleotides) under uncultured bacterium. Its description in RNAcentral is "partial 16S ribosomal RNA". It matches the Rfam family "Bacterial small subunit ribosomal RNA", at positions 28 to 507 of the family's 1533-position model. The record is from RNAcentral.
GACGAACGCUGGCGGCGUGCUUAACACAUGCAAGUCGAACGGAAAGGCCCUGCUUUUGUGGGGUGCUCGAGUGGCGAACGGGUGAGUAACACGUGAGUAACCUGCCCUUGACUUUGGGAUAACUUCAGGAAACUGGGGCUAAUACCGGAUAGGAGCUCCUGCUGCAUGGUGGGGGUUGGAAAGUUUCGGCGGUUGGGGAUGGACUCGCGGCUUAUCAGCUUGUUGGUGGGGUAGUGGCUUACCAAGGCUUUGACGGGUAGCCGGCCUGAGAGGGUGAACGGCCACAAUGGGACUGAGAUACGGCCCAGACGCCUACGGGAGGCAGCAGGGGGGAAUAUUGCACAAUGGGCGGGAGCCGGAGGCAGCAACGCCGCGUGCGGGAAGACGGCCUUUGGGUUGUAAACCGCUUUCGCCUGAGACGAAGCGGGAGUGACGGUAAUGGGUAAAGAAGCACCGGCUAACUACGUG